This 471-nucleotide ribosomal RNA is filed under the name uncultured organism. RNAcentral describes it as "partial 16S ribosomal RNA". It matches the Rfam family "Bacterial small subunit ribosomal RNA", at positions 334 to 797 of the family's 1533-position model. The record is from RNAcentral.
CACUCCUACGGGAGGCAGCAGUGGGGAAUUUUGGACAAUGGGCGAAAGCCUGAUCCAGCAAUGCCGCGUGAGUGAAGAAGGCCUUCGGGUUGUAAAGCUCUUUUGUCAGGGAAGAAACGGUGAGAGCUAAUAUCUCUUGCUAAUGACGGUACCUGAAGAAUAAGCACCGGCUAACUACGUGCCAGCAGCCGCGGUAAUACGUAGGGUGCAAGCGUUAAUCGGAAUUACUGGGCGUAAAGCGUGCGCAGGCGGUUUUGUAAGUCUGAUGUGAAAUCCCCGGGCUCAACCUGGGAAUUGCAUUGGAGACUGCAAGGCUAGAAUCUGGCAGAGGGGGGUAGAAUUCCACGUGUAGCAGUGAAAUGCGUAGAUAUGUGGAGGAACACCGAUGGCGAAGGCAGCCCCCUGGGUCAAGAUUGACGCUCAUGCACGAAAGCGUGGGGAGCAAACAGGAUUAGAUACCCUAGUAGUCCC